This 1435-nucleotide long non-coding RNA is filed under the name Canis lupus familiaris (dog). RNAcentral describes it as "lncRNA (ENSCAFG00000058997.1)". The record is from RNAcentral. Lineage: Eukaryota; Metazoa; Chordata; Mammalia; Carnivora; Canidae.
UGAGAAUGAACUCCCGAGUACACUGCUUGCAGCCCGUGACUGGAAUGUUAAUUUCGUCCUGCGUCCCCGGCUGGCUCCCUUCAACGGUACUGGGCUCUCGCAUUUCUGACAUUUUUCGUUUUGUAAAAAUGAAUACCUGCCUUAGAAAGCCUGAUGAACGCAGAGAUACUUUACAUGCAAACACACACACACACACACACACACACACACACACACACACACACAAAUGCUGUUCCCAUUUCCCCCUGUCUUUCAUCUGACAAAGCGGGUAGUGACUGCGAGCUCAGAAUUGGCUGGCGGAGGUGUCUGCUGGUGUGUGGGCUCCAUUUCUGGGGCUUUAUCAAGCCCUGUCUCCGAUUUUCCCAUUUCAGACAAUCUUCCUUUGAAGACGUGGAUGACAUAGUAAAACCGAUUGCACUUGAGAGCCGAUUCCAUGACUAUUUUGCUGCAACAGCAAAGAUAACAUAUGCAGCCCAGACACUGGCUUCUGCAAGCCCCUCUGUUGUCUGCCUUUCAUGGAUCAGACCCCUUUGCUAGUGGAGCACAGUGUCACCGAUCAAAUCAACACGGCUGGUCCUGGGAGCCCCUUGUGUUGUUGCUGUCAGCUGAGAGGUGGCCCACGUGUCUUAGCAGCAACCUUUAUUUUCCAAAACUGACAAAGAGGAGUGGGUAAUUCUCCUGCUGGCAGAUGGAGGUCAGCAGGACCUGUUGGCUAGAAGCUUACUGGUGACUCUACACAGCUCAUUCCUUCUUCUGCAAACAUAGCUCUAAGCAACAUUUCAGGCAACCAGAAACCCUUCUCAUUUGGCAGAUGUUUCGGCAAAUUAUUUUUCUGCUGUAUAGCUCAAGAGAAGUGGCAAUAGCAGUUAGUGACUACCUGGCAUGUUGAGUUUCCUGUAGGGGACAAACAAAUCAAAUGCAAUUAGACUUUCUUUUUGAAGAAUAUAGAUUAUAGUUCUGGGCCACAGCAUUACAUAACCAUUUCUAUCUCUGGCACAAUCUAUAGAUCACAUAGGACACUAAUAAACUGCAUAUUACAAUAAAAUACACAAUGCAUAUUCUCUUGAUAAAUAUUAUGACUACUUUUUUGUUUCAAAUAUGCUUUUUGUUCUAUGCAUAUUCCAUAGUGGAUCUUUACCUUUAGGAGGUAACCCUUUAUCAUAAAGAAUACUUUGGAUUUUUAAAAGCUGAAUUUGGGAUAUUUUAUGAAUUAAUUAUUAAGACUAAAUCUAGGAUAGAGUGACUGGGUGGCUUAGUCAGUUAAGCAGCUGCCUUCAGCCUGAGCUGGAACAUCAGGUCAGGAUCCCAGGGUCCUGGAAUCGAGCCCCACAUGGGGCUUCCCUGUUCAGCAGGGAGUCUGCUUCUCCCUCUCCUUCUGUCCAUCCCCACUGUCCCUCCCCGCUUUCUCUCUCUCUCAAAUGAAUAAAUACAGAAU